This 470-nucleotide ribosomal RNA is filed under the name Parvimonas micra. RNAcentral describes it as "bacterial SSU rRNA". It matches the Rfam family "Bacterial small subunit ribosomal RNA", at positions 28 to 500 of the family's 1533-position model. The record is from RNAcentral. Lineage: Bacteria; Bacillati; Bacillota; Tissierellia; Tissierellales; Peptoniphilaceae.
GACGAACGCUGCGGCGUGCUUAACACAUGCAAGUCGAACGUGAUUUUUAAGGAAAGCCCUUCGGGGUGGGAAUUAAAAUGAAAGUGGCGAACGGGUGAGUAACAUGUGAGCAACCUACCUUACACAGGGGGAUAGCCGUUGGAAACGACGAUUAAUACCGCAUGAGACCACAGAAUCGCAUGAUAUAGGGGUCAAAGAUUUAUCGGUGUAAGAAGGGCUCGCGUCUGAUUAGCUAGUUGGAAGGGUAAAGGCCUACCAAGGCGACGAUCAGUAGCCGGUCUGAGAGGAUGAACGGCCACAUUGGAACUGAGACACGGUCCAAACUCCUACGGGAGGCAGCAGUGGGGAAUAUUGCACAAUGGGGGGAACCCUGAUGCAGCGACGCCGCGUGAGCGAAGAAGGUUUUCGAAUCGUAAAGCUUCUGUCCUAUGAGAAGAUAAUGACGGUAUCAUAGGAGGAAGCCCGGCUAA